ACGAACGCUGGCGGCGUGCUUAACACCUGCAAGUCGCACGGAAAGGCCCUGCUUUUGUGGGGUGCUCGGGUGGCGAACGGGUGAGUAACACGUGAGUAACCUGCCCUUGACUUUGGGAUAACUUCAGGAAACUGGGGCUAAUACCGGAUAGGAGCUCCUGCUGCAUGGUGGGGGUUGGAAAGUUUCGGCGGUUGGGGAUGGACUCGCGGCUUAUCAGCUUGUUGGUGGGGUAGUGGCUUACCAAGGCUUUGACGGGUAGCCGGCCUGAGAGGGUGACCGGCCACAUUGGGACUGAGAUACGGCCCAGACUCCUACGGGAGGCAGCAGUGGGGAAUAUUGCACAAUGGGCGGAAGCCUGAUGCAGCAACGCCGCGUGCGGGAUGACGGCCUUCGGGUUGUAAACCGCUUUCGCCUGUGACGAAGCGUGAGUGACGGUAAUGGGUAAAGAAGCACCGGCUAACUACGUG
This 467-nucleotide ribosomal RNA is filed under the name uncultured bacterium. Its description in RNAcentral is "partial 16S ribosomal RNA". It matches the Rfam family "Bacterial small subunit ribosomal RNA", at positions 29 to 507 of the family's 1533-position model. The record is from RNAcentral.